GUAAAAUUUAUAUAUUUAUAUUUUUAAAAUUUCAUUUUUCAAUUUGACUUCACCUCUUUUAUUAUCCUUUUCUUAAUUCUAAUAAAAAUAAAUCAAUUAAUUUAAAAAGGGAGACUAAAUACUAUUAACGUUUUUCACAUAUUCAAAAGGAAAAAAUCAACCAAAAUUUACUAUUAAACUGGAGGUCGAUUUGGUUCAGCCACAUUAUACGACCCAACCGGUUGAGCCGAAGUCCCUUCUUCGUCAUUGGCUGCUACUUUUGGCGACUUUACUGUGGAUGAUGCUCUCGUCAAAAUUGAUGAGGCUCUUACUAAAAAUGGUGGGGCCGCACCAAAAACCCACCGGUCCGACUUAGCUCCCUGGUCCAACCGCUCA
This 375-nucleotide unclassified non-coding RNA is filed under the name Hevea brasiliensis (rubber tree). The record is from RNAcentral. Lineage: Eukaryota; Viridiplantae; Streptophyta; Magnoliopsida; Malpighiales; Euphorbiaceae.